Molecule: unclassified non-coding RNA, 369 nt
Filed under: uncultured fungus
Lineage: Eukaryota; Fungi
Description: sequence contains ITS1
Rfam family: 5.8S ribosomal RNA (bases 1-107)
Source: RNAcentral
GAAAUGCGAUACUUGGUGUGAAUUGCAGAAUCCCGUGAACCAUCGAGUCUUUGAACGCAAGUUGCGCCCGAAGCCAUUAGGUUAAGGGCACGUCUGCCUGGCUGUCUCACGUUACGUCGCCCGUGCCCCCUCCGCCUGAAGGGGGAAAGAAGGGCUGCGACGGAUGUUGGCUCCUGCGCGUGUGCCCUGGCGUGGUCGGCCAAAAAGUGAGUGCCCCGCGACAGACGACAUGUCGCAACAGACGACGUGUCGUGACGAGUGGUGGUUGACAAACCGUUGCGUCACCUCGCGCGAAUCCGGGCCAUCUUGGGAGGCCUGUCGUGACCCUAUCACGCCGCCAGGUCAGGCGUGAUUAUGCGCUGAGUUUAA